UGGCACCUUGUUCCUCGGGAUUGCUGCCCAAUGUUUUUCCUUCCAGCCAUGUGUAUGCGGCUUCUCUUGAUUGGAUGUGGCAGUUGCUUGUCGAUUCAGACUCUGUUUCCUGAUCUCCAUCUCGGCCGUGUAUCUGGGUGACGUCCUUUUGCUCUCCGCUCCUUGCCAAGAAUGAGAGCAGUUUUCUGGGCUGGAAACCCAUUGACGUCGUCGUCCAGAUACGGUAUCUCCAUUUAUAGUAAAAUCCAGCCAAUGUGCAUUCUAUUCAAAUCUGCUUAAGGCUGUCCAUCUGAUCAUCCCUCUGUCUAUACAGUACAUAGACCAUUGUCUUCUCCAAAACCAAUCUCUUUCCCAGACCGAUGAACCCCACGCCACAUAUUAUUGUGCCAGUUGGAUUUGAUGCCUAUCUUCUGUGGCAUCAGAUAUACCCACACACUCUGAUAUCAUUCUGCAUCAAUUAUUUGGCACUUGUUUAGCGCAUGAGCCCUACUGUAUUCUAGAAUUCAAGCAGCAGUCUCUCCACCCACAGUCCCAGAGUUGGCGUCGGUUCUACAUCCACACUCCCAGAGUUGGCGUCGGUUCGAUGCUCCCAGGCCAGGAGAAGCAGAAGGUGGUCGUGGGGACUCCAAACUUGUAAUUGUCCCUUUUAUCUCCACCAGCGACCCAAUGCCGUGAUAACGCGCAAUCUGAUAGGGGUGAAAGGGGAUCGUUCAUCACCCUCUCCCGUUGCAAGCCUAGGGUUCACAUAUGGCGUUUGAGAUGUAUCACAGAGAAUAUAAAUUGCCGUAAAAUGGAAAAAGAAACAGAUAUUAUUAGUCAUUAACGUUACAAAUGUUCGAGCCAUUAAGUCAUUCGUUUUCCUAUUGCUUAAAAUCCUCUGGUUUCCUGAUAUAUUGCAUGGGGGGGGGGAGCCCAACGCUGAUCACUACCAGGUGGGCCAUGAUCACAUCGGUGAUUCUUCAGUGCUGGAACAACAAUUCUAUGACAACACAAACAAGCGCAUUGAAUUUGUUCAUAUAAUAACACGGCGCUGUGUAGACUUAAAGGCACAGGAACUAUAUGGAUUCUGAAGACUUUGAGUGUCGGAUUUUGAACUUUGCACCCCCGUGUGUUGCAAGACAACGUGCAGAUCAAGGAGAAAGCCAGAAAUGUAGACUUUUGAACCAGUGAUGUUGCUUUUAAAUCCAAUAUCCAUCCAAGAAAACGACUAAUCACAACAUUGUAUGGGAAGUCAGAUCUCCUCCAGCCAAGGCUCAACAUUCCCCCCAUGACACAGUACUGGAUAUGAGUAACUGGACAGCCUUAACCAAAUAAUAUAUUGAUAUCACUGUGACUUUCCAGCUCUUUGACAUUUCCUGAAUACAAAACUGGAUUUUCCAAAUUUUUCGAGUCAUGGAGGCAAAGAAAGCAGCUUGCUCGGGUCUAGGGGUCUCCAUGUUUGCGAUGUUGACAAGGCAAAGGCUGGAUCAAAGGCCCCGCACCCUUCUGAGCUUCGUGGGACGUAAUUAGAAUAAGUGGAAGCUAAUUUCUGAGAGAAAGAUAAGAGGGGUGACGUUAUAGUGAGAAAAGAAACAGAAACACUGGCAAUGUCGUUGGGAGCCAGAAAAUCGCAGGACGGGGUCUACUCAGCAAAACGUAAGUACAAAGUCUCUCAACUGCUCGUCGUAUUAUAGGAAUCUCACUCUUACUGAUAUUCGCACAGAGUUUUGAGGCUUCCCUAAUGAAGUAAAUAGUCAUUCUUCCCAUGUGUCUCCUAACAGGUCUUUAGUCUACCACCCAACCCCAUAGGGUCUCCCUGGUUCCUCUGCCAGUAGUAAACAGCUAAUUAUUACUAUUAAUUAGCUGUUACGAACGGAGUCCCAAAGCCAGAACUAGUGAAAAGGUCCUGGUUGCAGCUCAAUGUUCCGCCUCGAAGAAUCACCUUUGGCUUUGGGAGGAGCCAUCCUCUAUUCGAGUGCCAUCAGGUCUUAACAUGAGAGGACCAGAGAGAGAGUUCUGGGCAGGCAAGUGAACCGGACGUUGUAUACUGGAACGGAGAACAAGGAGAGUGGUCAAGGGACAGGCCGGGUCGAUACCAAUCAGGAGAAGCAGUACAGAUCCAAGAGACGAGAGAGUAGUCGAGGUCGCAGGCUGAGUCAAACACACGAAUAUCACGGUACAAGGCAGGAUCCGAGAAAGUAGUCUGUUCACGGGCAAGGGUCAGGACAGGCAGCGAAAUAGACAUGGUCAGGGACAGGCAGGGUCAGGAACAGAUCAGAAACACGAGAAAUCACACCCAGGAACUAUUUAAAAUAGACCCUACGUUGGGCAGUGUGUUAGCAAGCGCAAGCCUUUUAAAUAUAUUAUUUUCGCUCCAAUGCGUGAUGAUGUCACGCGGCGCUCUGAAUAGAGACGAAGAUACACGAGCACUGUGCAAUUCGGCUCAAUGUUGAGGCUUAUGGGAAUUCAUCAGGCAAGGACCGCAUCAACGUGCCUGAUGAAUCCCCGUUGUUGCUGGCAAAACCCUGAGCCACUAACAUUAUUCUGGGCCAUGAAAAAUUCUGGCCUACAAUCAAUGGUGACAGAUUAGAUUAGUGCAUUAUUUUACCUUAGUGCACAGCAACACAAUAUUCCACAAUUACUGGUUGGUAAAGUCGGCCAGAUCUGUACAGGCAAUGCUACUGGUUGCAGGAACAUACGGGCCACAAAUGAGAUGCUUAUAUUGUUUCUUGGUUGAUUCUAUGUAACCAUACUUUAAUUUUGUCUACAGAAAUGACUUGAAGGAUAUGGCUGGGCCCAACCACUGCCUCCUCCGCUCCCGCCUCGUGCUGAUGUGUCUUUAUCUCUUUCUUUCCAUGCUGCUGCUCUUCGUUGGCUGUUUUGUGAGCUGCUUUGUAUUCGUCUACGUGUCCAACUUGCUUUACAGGCACUGAAUGAAUUCUAACUGCCAUCGGGUGAUUGUGAAACACUGCUUCACCGAUUAUCCAUCAAUUAUAUUAUUUAAUGAAUUUAUUAUGAGAGAAACGAAGUGUUCAUGGAAUAAAAAUUGGUCUGGAGUCCAUUAGCCCUGUCCCUGCAAGAACUAACUGAUUCUCUGGACUCCCUGCUCUGGUGCUGCUCUCUUCCCCCAUGGUCAGGCACAGGGGGUGGGAGCAGAGAAAUAUACAGAAGCCUUUAACAGAGCUUUGACUAUAACACUGAUGACUUUAUCAAAAUAACACAGUUUCUGUGUUCCAUGGAGUAGCCUAGGAGCAUAAAAUAACUUACAGUAUGUAGUUGCGUUAGUACUUGGGGGAAACUGGAUGAAUGUACUCAUGGAAAGUUUCCUAGUAGUAGCUAAGGUGUUGUCCUAAGUGGGCUUGUGCUACAAUGCCGUGGUGAAAUCCUAAUUGGUGGAUGCUAUAUAAAUGCUACACCAAACCUGUUUGUGGCCCGGCAAGCUGCUGGAAAUGAUGAUGCUUUCCCUUUAAGAGGCUGCUGUAAAUGUCUUUAUUAAGUUUAAUUUUGGGACAGGAGACGUGGUCAUAAGCCCUGUUCACGAGAGCUUACAAUCUAUGGAAGUUAUUUCAAACUUCUAAUUAUAUCAGGGCAAAACAAAUGUUUCACGUGUUGGAGAAAAUUCCAAAAACCAAAUCCUGCAUUGGAAAGCCAGAUGUGUUUUAAGUAGACAUAAAACAGUGAAUUUCCUGGUUUCCCAAGCAUAUGAUAAUAAUUGGUUCCUGCCACCUCUAUGGUCAGACCUCCCACUAUUAUUCAUCCAUGUGUUUCAUAUCUCUAGAUACCUUACCAGUGAAAGAAGGUAAUCCCAUUUUUGAUGCAGAUUUACAGCCAGACUUUUAAAUCUAUUUGAUAUUUAUGGAGACCACCCAAAAUAGCAUAUUAAAGUAAAAUCUAAACCUU
Xenopus laevis (African clawed frog) is the source of this 3879-nucleotide long non-coding RNA. RefSeq lists it as uncharacterized. NCBI's taxonomy places the organism in Eukaryota, Metazoa, Chordata, Amphibia, Anura, Pipidae. The transcript has 2 exons. The record is from RefSeq and is a predicted model, not a curated record.